CUUCACGCUGACCGCUUUGGCCCUGAUCACUGCAAAACACAUGGACCCAGAGAGACGAGGUCUCACUCUUGCUUCGGCUGGUCUCCAACUCCUGAGCUCAAGCAGUCUGCCUGCCUCGGCCUCCCUGGGUGCUGGGAUCACAGGUGUGAGCUAUCGCCUCCAGUCCUACGGCUGAUUCUCAACAGUAACACAGAUCCUACUGAGAGGCAGGGAGGCCCAGUAGGUGGAUACUGUACCUACGUCCAGCCCCGCAGGACCCAGAAAUACUUCCAGGGUCCCAGCCGGCACCAGAGCCCUGCACCACAGCCUGCUGCCCCACCUGUGCCCACACCCCACUUUUACUUCUGUUGGAGCUGAGUCACAACUUGCAGAGGCCACAGCUUCCUGUUUCCAGGGUAAGCCAGACCUUACCCCAAAAGGCCACAUUUAGGAAAUACUGCCUGGUGUCCCUGGGCCACCAGAAACCUUCCUCUCAUUCAUCCACUACCACCAGUUGUCCCUUCCAGCUUCAACCUCCCUCCUUGGCUGCCCACUGCCUUUGUCUACAACACCAGACCCUUGCAACCUGACACCAUCUUGUCCCCUUGGCGGCUGCAACCCAACAACUCCAAGCUCUCUUCUUUUGGGUCCACUGGUCCACGAAACCUCCCCACUCAGAAUGUGCCCAGGUACAUCCAUGCUUCUGAACAGCCAAGUUUCUUCUGCCCCAAAUGCCAUCCCCCCUUUCUACCUGGAGAACUUCUACUCAUUCCUUAACUAAAAUAACCCCUUUCCGUCUUUCGCUGGGAAAUCCUGUCUUCCAGCAGCACUUGUUAUAUCCUCCGCCUCUCAUCCACCCUGCUGUCAACACCUGCACGCCUGUCUGCGCAGGGCCCUGGGAGGCUCUGACUGCGGCACGGUCGUGCUCACUAAAUGUCUGCCAGACACGGCUGAGCUGGACCUGCUGACACGGGGCUGGGGGCCCAGGUGAGGUCUGUCUCCGGUCCCUCUUCCUACCUGCCUAAUCUUUACACCUUAUCGCGAUACAGCACAAAAAAAUAUUUAUAUAAAUCAGCAAACACACACAAUUAACUUCGUCUUUAGUUUGCUCUUCACGUAGUUUCAAAGUCAUCAGCUCAAAAGCAAACCAGCAAAAUCAGAAGGAAACGAUGGUUCCAGGAUGAGCAAGGAGCUGGAGCUUAGCACAGUCUAUGAAUUCUACAUGUGUUUUGGAACUUCUGGAACCUCUUUUCAGUGGUCCCCUGCAUUGCACCACUGAGGCCCUUCCAGCUUCGACAGCCUGGAAGCACCUGAUCCAGGCAAGAAGACAGACGAGCCACUGAGGCCUGGCUUACCGUCCACAACAGGAGUCCAAUCCACAUGCCACAGGUGCUCAGGAAAUUUACUCUGCAAGCCAAAGGUGAUACUCCAUUCCAUGUGUUAAUGUCCACGCACUGCCCUCUUAUAAAACCUGCUAAGGAUCCAGAGCAGAGUCUGGGCCCUUGUUUCAAAGUGGCAGUAUCAGGGACAGACUUUGUGUCAGCUAUGCGGGCUGUGUGGUCUCAGAGGCCACAGAUGCUCAGAGAGUCUACAGUGGAGAUAACGACCAGAGGGCCUGCACCCCUAACGGUGCGGCGAGGACUAGAGAGGCCAGAUGCCUGGACACGGCACCUGGCAGCAAACGCUUAUCCAGGUCAGGACCCGGAACACGGACAGCAUUGCAGAGGGGAACAGGGCACCCACUCCCAGCCCUGGGAAGGGUCAGGUCUGGGAGACGGCGUCACGAGGCUUAGGUACAGGGAUACUGUCCUGCUCAUGACACCAUAUAGACACCUGGAAUCUGGCUUUCAUGCUGCUUCCCAAUGACCCUGCUCUGCUUCGGAGCUGUGGAACACACCCUCUUCUUUCAAAUUGUCAGAAGAGGCUGCUGGAAUCAAGGAUCCAAGGCAGAUUCGUGGGGUAAAACUAGAAAGUUAAGGCUGAGGUAGACAGAUGCUCACAGGGAAGGAGUGAGGGCCAGAGACUUUGACUCACUAUCUCCAACCCAGCUGCCUCAGCCUGUCCACAGGGAACCAGAAUUCAUACGCUUCAGGUGGGAACCUCCCCUGCCCCACUUUGCAAAAUGAAAGAUUGUAUGAAGGGCGGCGCCUGUGGCUCAAAGGGAUAGGGCGCCAGUCCCAUAUGCUGGAGGUGGUGGGUUCAAAUCCAGCCUUGGCCAAAAACCACAAAAAAAAAAAAAGAAAGAAAGAAAGAUUGUGUGAAGUAAAGGGGAAUUGGGAGAGGUAGAGGAGGACCCAAAUUGCACGGAAACCUUCCCCAAACCACUAAUACCCCCAGAGAUGAGCCCCUGAGGCCUGCUGCCAGCUGUGGCUGGCACACACCUGUGGGCACAGUGGGGUCUGGGCAGCAGCGGGUAGAGAAAGGGUAGAGGGUGGAUUUAGCAUGCAGAAGGCUCCAGUGAGAAGCCUUGCCUUGGAGAAGCACUUGAUCCAGGCAAGAAGACGGAUGACAGACAGGAAAAUAGUAGUUGCUUCCACCUGCCACCAGUGGGCAGGAAGGAGGCAGGGGAGCUCUCCAGAAGAUAGUUCCACGCCCAUGGCCUUGGUCAUCACUGUGAGGGCCCCGAGGGACCACCAGGAUCGGAGGGGAAAGAAGGCCACUCACAGGAAGGAGGGCCCCUCAGGGUCCCAGGCCAUUUAAGCAUAGGACAAGCAAAGAGACACAAAGGAUUCAGGAAGAAAUUAAAAUGGAAGACUUACUAAAUGCCUACUAUGCGGGGUCGGUGCUGGGCGCUGAGCAGGGGUCAGCGCAUGUCCUGUCUGCGCCCCCGGGGCAGUGGGCUGCUCUUCCCCACGGCCCCCUACCCAGGAGCCAGAGGCAGCGGUGGGAGGGAGGGCUUUAUACAGAUGCUUGUUCUAACUGCUGUGCCCCAAACCAUGGCCUCUCCCCACGCGGCUCAGAUUUCAUCUUCUCUUCUUUCCCUUCUGCUGUUAACACAACAUCUGGGUUUGAGAUCAAGGGUGACACACUGGCUGAUGAAUUCACUGCCAGAUGCUGGCUACUGGAAUGUACAACCGUCGGCUGAAUUCAAAGCACACGCAACCACAGAGCCCCCACCCCCGCUCCUCCAGCCGAGGACACCACAUGAUGUCACUUCCCCCCAGGAGGAGCCUGCAAAACCGAUCCCUCAGACACCCAGCCAGGCUGGGGAUAUGGAAAAGAAGUGAGUGGGUGGGAAACCAAGGUCACGGAACAUGAUCCCAGAAGGACCAGCGAUGCUCAGACUGGGAGAAUCACAACCACCCAGGGUAAACCAGCCACACGGUCCCUAAGCAAGGGGCUUGCUGGAAAGCUCAACAGAUCCCAGCUGUGCCAACCCCGGCUGAGAUGCCAGGCCCUGGAGGCACCGUUCUCUCCUCUCCUGUUCUCCUGCCUUUUCAUCCCCUGCAGCCACCGCAACAUGGCUCUGUGUCCUGAAGUCCCUGUCACACACCCCACCGUCACAUUUUGAAUCCUACCUGUCCAAAGAAUCACCAUGGAAGUUCCUGGGAAAAAUAAGACCAAGCCCAUACUCCACUGGGGGUGGGAGGAGUCAGACUCCCAAAAGGAAAACUGUCCCUGGGAGUUCGCUAGCUCAAGCUCAUUGAAUUCUCUUUAUGAUCUUCAGCCCAGCUGCUCUCCGGAGGAAUCCCAUGAGCCCCAUGCACAGAAACAUCCUGCAGGGCCGUCCCCCUCUGCGCCGCUCUGCUGGGGCACUGGAUCCCCACCCAGGGGUCCAAGUAGACCUGUGAUCUGACCUACAGAUGUCCCCGGCCCUGACACGGCAUUCCACACGCCCAGGUCCCUGCAGAGGCCGAGCUUCUGGCUGAGGGAUGAACUCAGGAGGCAGGAGGGAAAAGGUGGCCCACGGUCCCUCAGAGCCACCCAUCUGGCCAGCAGAGACGCAGACAUU
Nycticebus coucang (slow loris) is the source of this 3931-nucleotide long non-coding RNA. RefSeq lists it as uncharacterized. Lineage: Eukaryota; Metazoa; Chordata; Mammalia; Primates; Lorisidae. The record is from RefSeq and is a predicted model, not a curated record. The transcript is spliced from 3 exons.